CACGUAGGGCGCAAGCGUUGUCCGGAAUUAUUGGGCGUAAAGAGCUCGUAGGUGGUUUGUUACGUCUGCUGUGAAAUCCUAGGGCUUAACCCUGGGCUUGCAGUGGAUACGGGCAGACUAGAGGUAGGUAGGGGAGAAUGGAAUUCCUGGUGUAGCGGUGAAAUGCGCAGAUAUCAGGAGGAACACCGGUGGCGACGGCGGUUCUCUGGGCCUUACCUGACACUGAGGAGCGAAAGCGUGGGGAGCGAACAGG
RNAcentral lists this ribosomal RNA (253 nucleotides) under uncultured bacterium. Its description in RNAcentral is "partial 16S ribosomal RNA". It matches the Rfam family "Bacterial small subunit ribosomal RNA", at positions 524 to 776 of the family's 1533-position model. The record is from RNAcentral.